Molecule: ribosomal RNA, 484 nt
Filed under: uncultured bacterium
Lineage: Bacteria
Description: partial 16S ribosomal RNA
Rfam family: Bacterial small subunit ribosomal RNA
Source: RNAcentral
AUUGAACGCUGGCGGCAUGCUUUACACAUGCAAGUCGAACGGCCGCGCGGGCUUCGGCCUGGCGGCGAGUGGCGAACGGGUGAGUAAUACAUCGGAACGUGCCCAGUAGUGGGGGAUAGCUCGGCGAAAGCCGGAUUAAUACCGCAUACGACCUGAGGGUGAAAGCGGGGGAUCUUCGGACCUCGCGCUAUUGGAGCGGCCGAUGGCAGAUUAGCUAGUUGGUGGGGUAAAGGCCUACCAAGGCGACGAUCUGUAGCUGGUCUGAGCGGACGACCAGCCACACUGGGACUGAGACACGGCCCAGACUCCUACGGGAGGCAGCAGUGGGGAAUUUUGGACAAUGGGCGAAAGCCUGAUCCAGCAAUGCCGCGUGUGUGAUGAAGGCCUUCGGGUUGUAAAGCACUUUUGGCGGGAACGAAAAGGACUGUGCCAAUACCACGGUUCGAUGACGGUACCCGCAGAAUAAGCACCGGCUAACUACGUG